RNAcentral lists this transfer RNA (50 nucleotides) under Typomys trivirgatus (West African Hybomys). Its description in RNAcentral is "Hybomys trivirgatus (West African Hybomys) partial tRNA-Phe". The record is from RNAcentral. Lineage: Eukaryota; Metazoa; Chordata; Mammalia; Rodentia; Muridae.
UCAAAGCAAGGCACUGAAAAUGCUUAGAUGGAUGUAUCAUCCCAUAAACA